GGCUUUCUAGCUCAGUGGCAGAACAUCGGCCUUGAGUGCAGAAGGUCCUAUGUUCAAUCCCCAGCAUCUCCA
Podarcis lilfordi (Lilford's wall lizard) is the source of this 72-nucleotide non-coding RNA. The record is from the annotation of a GenBank genome assembly. Lineage: Eukaryota; Metazoa; Chordata; Lepidosauria; Squamata; Lacertidae.